GCUGAUUCCACCCCUAUUCUUCCACACUUUGGACUUGCUAUAAAAAAUCAUAUUUGGAGGCAAAGUGGAACAAGAUAUAUAGUUUUAGAGAAGCCUAGGCGUGGAAAUUAAAAAUGUCUAUCUAAAAGAACACAGUUACAUGGCCUCUGUUAAUGCUGGUUUUCUUUGUACUGUGCAUGAAUUCGUGGUGUGAACAUGGUGAAGCAGCAAGAAUCUUCUCAGACUUCUCUGCAAUUCCAUGACGCAGAGGCUUGGCGGACUAGACAGCAACCGCCGGAGCACCAGGGAGUCUCCCGGAGGGAGCUAUCCUGCCCCGGCAGCUAAUGUAAACGACCAUGUACAUCACUAGCUACUGCUUGAUGUCAGUGGCGAAAUCAGAAAAUUCAAUAAGGAUAUUCAAAUUUUGAACACUCUUUGCCCAGUGGGCUACGUAAAGGUGUUCAAAAUCUAUUUAUUAAUUAAUAACAACUACUUAAUAUUUUACCUUAUACGUAGUAUAAUUUUUUGGCGAAAGGUGUUCAGUUGACCACCCUCGGGCCAACAUAGCUUCGCCCCCUGCUUGAUGUCAUAGUAUGUUGGAUUAUCUAUGUAACUGGAUCAAGAUUUAGUGACCUCUAUUUUGUUGUGGACUUCUCACUUAUAAUAAGAAGACUUUGUUUUGUCUGUGUUU
Long non-coding RNA from Nicotiana tabacum (common tobacco), 670 nucleotides. RefSeq lists it as uncharacterized. The record is from RefSeq and is a predicted model, not a curated record. NCBI's taxonomy places the organism in Eukaryota, Viridiplantae, Streptophyta, Magnoliopsida, Solanales, Solanaceae.